AUGGAGUGCGGUGGAGGGGCCGAGUCCUGUAGUGCAUCCAUGUUGUACCGGCUAGCUAGUUACUCCAGUAUCAAAUACAGAGAAAAAAGACCGGCGUUCGUCGCCGGGGCGUAUGUGGCCGCAAGUACUCAUGUGCUCGAGUUCGUCUCCUGGCGUCUCCAGUCAUCGCGUGAGUUUGGCGUUCCUCGCCGGAGGGCAGCUCGGAGUUCGUCGCCGGUCUGCUCCAACAGAGGUUCCUGUGCCAGCAGGGGCCGCGCGCGGCAAUUGAAGAAGGUGCCAGGGGUGGCGGGGAAGCAAGGCUACUUCAUCAUCCAGUCGGCGCAGAUGGCGUCCUUCACCAACGACGGGUGCAAGGUGAACGGGGACAGCUUGUUGUCAAGCGCGUGCGGCCUCGUCGACGAACCCACUGCCGGAAAGGGGCUGCCGCUCAAGUUUGAGUCCUUCAUCAAGCUCGAUACUUCCUCAACAACUUCUUUCACCCAACGACCCCAACAAAUGCUAGUGAUCAAUCUUUCCGUCCGUCAUCCUGGAGAGCGCUCGCGCCCUGCUCUCGCCCGCACGUUCGCACCCUGCGGAUGCCACCGACGCCAGAAGGGAGGAUCCGGUGGCCGGUGCGUCCCCGUGGCGGUCGGUGUCGCCAGGGCCCGGGGUGGUGCUCCGUCCUGGAGGGUGUGGGGGCAGUUCUGGUUGCUUUCCGGCGGGUCUGACAAUGAGGAGGACGGUGCCCAGGAGGGGUUGGUCUAG
Molecule: ribosomal RNA, 744 nt
Filed under: Triticum aestivum (bread wheat)
Lineage: Eukaryota; Viridiplantae; Streptophyta; Magnoliopsida; Poales; Poaceae
Description: partial small subunit ribosomal RNA
Source: RNAcentral